ACGCUAGCUACAGGCUUAACACAUGCAAGUCGUGGGGCAGCGGAUGCUUAGCUUGCUAAGUAUGCCGGCGACCGGCGCACGGGUGAGUAACGCGUACCGAACCUGCCCAUCACACAGGGAUAGGCUUGCGAAAGCAAGAUUAAUACCUGAUGGUCUCAGUUGUAUGCAUGUAUGAUUGAGUAAAGCCUUCGGGCGGUGAUGGAUGGCGGUGCGUCCCAUUAGGAAGUUGGCGGGGUAACGGCCCACCAAUCCUUCGAUGGGUAGGGGUUCUGAGAGGAAGGUCCCCCACAUUGGAACUGAGAUACGGUCCAAACUCCUACGGGAGGCAGCAGUGAGGAAUAUUGGUCAAUGGGCGGGAGCCUGAACCAGCCAAGUAGCGUGCGGGAUGAAGGCCCUUGUGGUCGUAAACCGCUUUUAUCAGUGAAUAAAGUGCACCACGUGUGGUGUCAUUGCAGGUAGCUGAAGAAAAAGGACCGGCUAAUUCCGUGCCAGCAGCCGCGGUAAUACGGAAGGUCCGGGCGUUAUCCGGAAUUAUUGGGUUUAAAGGGAGCGCAGGCGGGAGUGUAAGUCAGCUGUUAAAUAUCAGGGCCCAACUCUGUUAUGCAGUUGAAACAAUAUUUCUUGAGUACGCACAGGGAUGGCGGAAUUCAGGGUGUAGCGGUGAAAUGCUUAGAUAUCCUGAAGAACUCCGAUCGCGAAGGCAGCCAUCCGGAGCGUAACUGACGCUGAGGCUCGAAGGUGCGGGUAUCGAACAGGAUUAGAUACCCUGGUAGUCCGCACGGUAAACGAUGAAUACUCGCAGUUCGGUCAUUAUGAUUGAGUUGUCCAGCGAAAGCGUUAAGUAUUCCACCUGGGGAGUACGCCGGCAACGGUGAAACUCAAAGGAAUAGACGGGGGCCCGC
Molecule: ribosomal RNA, 902 nt
Filed under: uncultured bacterium
Lineage: Bacteria
Description: bacterial SSU rRNA
Rfam family: Bacterial small subunit ribosomal RNA
Source: RNAcentral